This 498-nucleotide ribosomal RNA is filed under the name uncultured bacterium. Its description in RNAcentral is "partial 16S ribosomal RNA". It matches the Rfam family "Bacterial small subunit ribosomal RNA", at positions 28 to 507 of the family's 1533-position model. The record is from RNAcentral.
GACGAACGCUGGCGGCGUGCCUAAUACAUGCAAGUCGAGCGGACGGAUGGGAGCUUGCUCCCAGACCGUCAGCGGCGGCCGGGUGAGUAACCCGUGGGCAACCUGCCUGUAAGACUGGGAUAACUCCGGGAAACCGGGGCUAAUACCGGAUAACUCUUUCCCUCACAUGAGGGAAAGCUGAAAGAUGGCAUCUCGCUAUCACUUACAGAUGGUCCCGCGGCGCAUUAGCUAGUUGGUGAGGUAACGGCUCACCAAGGCGACGAUGCGUAGCCGACCUGCGAGGGGGAUAGGCCACACGGGAACUGAACCACGCACAAUACGACUACGGGAGGCAGCAGUAGGGAAUGUGACGCAAUGGAGGAAAGUCUGACGGAGCAACGCCGCGUGAGUGAUGAAGGUUUUGGGAGCGUAAAACUCGGUUGUCAGGGAUAAACAAGUACCGGAGUAACUGCCGGUAGCUUGACGGUACCUGACCAGAAAGCCACGGCUAACUACGUG